This 648-nucleotide long non-coding RNA is filed under the name Oryzias javanicus (javanese ricefish). RNAcentral's name for it is "lncRNA (ENSOJAG00000021780.1)". Lineage: Eukaryota; Metazoa; Chordata; Actinopteri; Beloniformes; Adrianichthyidae. The record is from RNAcentral.
GUCAAAGUGAGGAACUGACUCAAGGGACAGAGGACUUUCCGAAGCUUAGUUGGACCAUACUCCAGCUCAAAAAUUACAUUUGCCAAAAAUACACAAAAGUAAACUUACACCUCAUUGGCUUUGACAUGGCUCGUGCUGACAAAUCCAGACAUCUUCAUAAAAUGACAGGAAACACGGUAGCAGAUUUUAAAAAAGAUCUUGGACGGAGUAGACUUUAUGUCAUUCCUCACUCAGACAUCCCCCUGCCAUCAACUGUAAGUUAACUUUUUUAGUUUUUUGGAAUGAACGGUUACUCACAAGUUAUUGUCAUAGUAAUAUGUUUGUUUUGUUCUAGAGUUUGCCUACAGCAACAUCUACAACUGGACCAACACCCAUGAAUGAAGAGCCUCCCCAGCACUCUGAAGCUGCGCUCACAAUACAAAAUGAUUCCAACAACUCUCUGGCAGAAACUUUGGAUCCAGAAGAAUGGCAAAAUGCAGGGACCCCAGAGGUGUACUACAGACGAAGACCUCUUGAUCCAACCAGCGAAGAAGUCAAUAGGUACUUCAUGGUAGUCCUAAAUAUAUUUAUAGUUCUAAACUAUGUUCGUAAAACAAUAUUUUUUAUGUCAUACUGAAAAGUAAUUGAAUUAUUUAUCAAAAUUUACAA